UUUGAUCCUGGCUCAGGACGAACGCUGGCGGCGUGCCUAAUACAUGCAAGUCGAGCGAGCUUGCCUAGAUGAUUUUAGUGCUUGCACUAAAUGAAACUAGAUACAAGCGAGCGGCGGACGGGUGAGUAACACGUGGGUAACCUGCCCAAGAGACUGGGAUAACACCUGGAAACAGAUGCUAAUACCGGAUAACAACACUAGACGCAUGUCUAGAGUUUGAAAGAUGGUUCUGCUAUCACUCUUGGAUGGACCUGCGGUGCAUUAGCUAGUUGGUAAGGUAACGGCUUACCAAGGCAAUGAUGCAUAGCCGAGUUGAGAGACUGAUCGGCCACAUUGGGACUGAGACACGGCCCAAACUCCUACGGGAGGCAGCAGUAGGGAAUCUUCCACAAUGGACGAAAGUCUGAUGGAGCAACGCCGCGUGAGUGAAGAAGGGUUUCGGCUCGUAAAGCUCUGUUGGUAGUGAAGAAAGAUAGAGGUAGUAACUGGCCUUUAUUUGACGGUAAUUACUUAGAAAGUCACGGCUAACUACGUGCCAGCAGCCGCGGUAAUACGUAGGUGGCAAGCGUUGUCCGGAUUUAUUGGGCGUAAAGCGAGUGCAGGCGGUUCAAUAAGUCUGAUGUGAAAGCCUUCGGCUCAACCGGAGAAUUGCAUCAGAAACUGUUGAACUUGAGUGCAGAAGAGGAGAGUGGAACUCCAUGUGUAGCGGUGAAAUGCGUAGA
RNAcentral lists this ribosomal RNA (722 nucleotides) under uncultured bacterium. RNAcentral's name for it is "bacterial SSU rRNA". It matches the Rfam family "Bacterial small subunit ribosomal RNA", at positions 12 to 694 of the family's 1533-position model. The record is from RNAcentral.